Molecule: non-coding RNA, 621 nt
Organism: Paramuricea clavata
Lineage: Eukaryota; Metazoa; Cnidaria; Anthozoa; Malacalcyonacea; Plexauridae
Source: the annotation of a GenBank genome assembly
UUGGGGUGUAUACGCCAUUAUUAUUGGUUGAACUAAUGUCUGCUGUUUUAUUCUUAGUGUACAUCAAUUUACCAAUACCACAUGGAUUGGAUAUGCCAACAGAUUCAACAUGUAUGCUAGCUUUUCUAAAUGAAUCACCAAGACAGUAUGUGGAAAUUGAAUGAUUAAUGGAACAAGCAGUCCAGUUUCACAUACAUAGCUCAAUAAUUUUUGUUAUAAGAAAUGUAUCUUUCAUCAUCAUUAUGAAAAUAUUGAAAACAAUUGUUUUCCCAAGUAAAGUGCUUCAAAUUUGCAAUGAAUUUGCAAUGGUGUGAUGUCAUCAGUGACAUCAUAAGUUUUGUUGCGUUGUCAUGGAAACAGGCUAUGUAAAGUUUGUUUAGGGUUUUUUAGUGCUUACAGUAAGGAAAGUGAAAAAAUCUAUAAAAUAUCAUGAAUAAAUCUCGGAAACAAUGACAAGCACAUUUAUCCAAUAAGAAUGCAGAAUAAUGACAUCACAUGGUUUCCAUGGCAACUGAAAAAGUUAUCUGUGGUACUUUGGAUCACAAGUAGCAUUGUCUUGCAAACAUUUUAUUUCUAAAAAGUAACGUUUUAUGGUGACAAAACACGAUAAUUGUUCAGAGC